RNAcentral lists this ribosomal RNA (442 nucleotides) under uncultured Novosphingobium sp. RNAcentral describes it as "bacterial SSU rRNA". It matches the Rfam family "Bacterial small subunit ribosomal RNA", at positions 335 to 795 of the family's 1533-position model. The record is from RNAcentral. Lineage: Bacteria; Pseudomonadati; Pseudomonadota; Alphaproteobacteria; Sphingomonadales; Sphingomonadaceae.
UGCCUACGGGGGGCUGCAGUGGGGAAUAUUGGACAAUGGGCGCAAGCCUGAUCCAGCAAUGCCGCGUGAGUGAUGAAGGCCUUAGGGUCGUAAAGCUCUUUUACCAGGGAUGAUAAUGACAGUACCUGGAGAAUAAGCUCCGGCUAACUCCGUGCCAGCAGCCGCGGUAAUACGGAGGGAGCUAGCGUUGUUCGGAAUUACUGGGCGUAAAGCGCACGUAGGCGGCUACACAAGUCAGAGGUGAAAGCCCGGGGCUCAACCCCGGAACUGCCUUUGAAACUAGGUGGCUAGAAUCUUGGAGAGGUCAGUGGAAUUCCGAGUGUAGAGGUGAAAUUCGUAGAUAUUCGGAAGAACACCAGUGGCGAAGGCGACUGACUGGACAAGUAUUGACGCUGAGGUGCGAAAGCGUGGGGAGCAAACAGGAUUAGAUACCCGUGUAGUC